UUAAGUUAAAAAGGGCGCAUGGUGAAUGCCUUGGCACUAGAAGCCGAUGAAGGACGGGACUAACACCGAUAUGCUUCGGGGAGCUGUACGUAAGCUUUGAUCCGGAGAUUUCCGAAUGGGGAAACCCAGCAGCUUUAAUCAGCUGUUACUAUAUAGUGAAUUCAUAGCUAUAUAGAGGUAGACGUGGGGAACUGAAACAUCUCAGUACCCACAGGAGCAGAAAGAAAUUUCGAUUCCCUAAGUAGCGGCGAGCGAACGGGGAACAGCCCAAACCAACGAGCUUGCUCGUUGGGGUUGUAGGACUGAACAUUUGAGUUACCAAAGUUGUUGAUAAUCGAACAAUCUGGGAAGGUUGGCGAAACAGGGUGAUAGCCCCGUAGGUGAAAUCAAUGACCCUCAGUUCAGGAUCCUGAGUACGGCGACACACGUGAAACGUCGUCGGAAUCCGGGAGGACCAUCUCCCAAGGCUAAAUACUCUCUAGUGACCGAUAGUGAACCAGUACCGUGAGGGAAAGGUGAAAAGCACCCCGGAAGGGGAGUGAAAUAGUUCCUGAAACCAUGUGCCUACAAGCAGUUAGAGCCCGUUAAUGGGUGAUAGCGUGCCUCUUGUAGAAUGAACCGGCGAGUUACGGUAACAUGCAAGGUUAAGGUUUAAAAGCCGGAGCCGCAGCGAAAGCGAGUCUGAAAUGGGCGUUUGAGUAUGUUGCUGUAGACCCGAAACCAGGUGAUCUACCCAUGUCCAGGCUGAAGGUGCGGUAAAACGCACUGGAGGGCCGAACCCGUGUACGUUGAAAAGUGCUGGGAUGAGGUGUGGGUAGCGGUGAAAUUCCAAACGAACUUGGAGAUAGCUGGUUCUCUCCGAAAUAGCUUUAGGGCUAGCCUCGGACGUAGAAUCAUGGAGGUAGAGCCACUGUUUGGAUGAGGGGCCCGUCAUGGGUUACUAAGUUCAGAUAAACUCCGAAUACCAUUGAUUUUUAUCCGGGAGUCAGACGGUGAGUGAUAAGAUCCAUCGUCAAAAGGGGAACAGCCCAGACCACCAGUUAAGGUCCCUAAAUAUAUGCUAAGUGGAAAAGGAUGUGGAGUUGCAUAGACAACUAGGAUGUUGGCUCAGAAGCAGCCAUCAUUUAAAGAGUGCGUAAUAGCUCACUAGUCGAGUGAUUCCGCGCCGAAAAUUUACCGGGGCUAAGCAUAUUACCGAGACUGUGGACUUGACCUUUGGUCAAGUGAUAGGAGAGCGUUCUAAGGGCAAUGAAGCCAGACCGUAAGGACUGGUGGNUACCAUUGAUUUUUAUCCGGGAGUCAGACGGUGAGUGAUAAGAUCCAUCGUCAAAAGGGGAACAGCCCAGACCACCAGUUAAGGUCCCUAAAUAUAUGCUAAGUGGAAAAGGAUGUGGAGUUGCAUAGACAACUAGGAUGUUGGCUCAGAAGCAGCCACCAUUUAAAGAGUGCGUAAUAGCUCACUAGUCGAGUGAUUCCGCGCCGAAAAUUUACCGGGGCUAAGCAUAUUACCGAGACUGUGGACUUGACCUUUGGUCAAGUGAUAGGAGAGCGUUCUAAGGGCAAUGAAGCCAGACCGUAAGGACUGGUGGAGCGCUUAGAAGUGAGAAUGCCGGUAUGAGUAGCGAAAGAUCAGUGAGAAUCUGAUCCACCGAAUGACUAAGGUUUCCUGGGGAAGGCUCGUCCUCCCAGGGUUAGUCGGGACCUAAGCCGAGGCCGAAAGGCGUAGGCGAUGGAUAACAGGUUGAGAUUCCUGUACUAGUUGAUGAUGUUUGAGCGAUGGAGGGACGCAGGAGGCUAAGUUGUGCAUCCAGUUGGAAAGGGAUGUUCAAGCAACGAGUCAGUCAAUGAGUUAAAUGCUUAUUGGCGGGUUGACAAGUUGUGAUGAGGACCGAAAUUUAAGUAGGGAAGCAACCGACGUCACACUGCCGAGAAAAGCUUCUAGUGAGUCAUCAACUACCCGUACCGCAAACCGACACAGGUAGUCGAGGAGAGAAUCCUCAGGUGAGCGAGUGAACUCUCGUUAAGGAACUCGGCAAAAUGACCCCGUAACUUCGGGAGAAGGGGUGCUGUGCGCAAGCACAGCCGCAGUGAAAAGGCCCAGGCGACUGUUUAUCAAAAACACAGGUUUCUGCAAAAUCGUAAGAUGACGUAUAGGGGCUGACGCCUGCCCGGUGCUGGAAGGUUAAGUGGAUGAGUUAGCUUCGGCGAAGCCCAGAAAUGAAGCCCCAGUAAACGGCGGCCGUAACUAUAACGGUCCUAAGGUAGCGAAAUUCCUUGUCGGGUAAGUUCCGACCCGCACGAAAGGCGUAACGAUCUGGGCACUGUCUCAACGAGAGACUCGGUGAAAUUAAGAUACCUGUGAAGAAGCAGGUUACCCGCGACAGGACGGAAAGACCCCAUGGAGCUUUACUGUAGCUUGAUAUUGGGUGUUGACACAGCUUGUACAGGAUAGGUAGGAGCCAUUGAAGCCGGAACGCUAGUUUCGGCAGAGGCGUUGGUGGGAUACUACCCUCGCUGUGUGAACACUCUAACCCGCGCCACUCAGCGUGGCGGGAGACAGUGUCAGGUAGGCAGUUUGACUGGGGCGGUCGCCUCCCAAACAGUAACGGAGGCGCCCAAAGGUUCCCUCAGAAUGGUUGGAAAUCAUUCAACGAGUGUAAAGGCAGAAGGGAGCUUGACUGCGAGACAGACAGGUCGAGCAGGGACGAAAGUCGGGCUUAGUGAUCCGGUGGUACCGUAUGGAAGGGCCAUCGCUCAACGGAUAAAAGCUACCCUGGGGAUAACAGGCUUAUCUCCCCCAAGAGUCCACAUCGACGGGGAGGUUUGGCACCUCGAUGUCGGCUCAUCGCAUCCUGGGGCUGUAGUCGGUCCCAAGGGUUGGGCUGUUCGCCCAUUAAAGCGGUACGCGAGCUGGGUUCAGAACGUCGUGAGACAGUUCGGUCCCUAUCCGUCGCGGGCGUAGGAAAUUUGAGAGGAGCUGUCCUUAGUACGAGAGGACCGGGAUGGACAUACCGCUGGUGUACCAGUUGCGCCGCCAGGCGCACCGCUGGGUAGCUACGUAUGGAUGAGAUAAACGCUGAAAGCAUCUAAGUGUGAAACUCACCUCAAGAUGAGAUUUCCCAUUCCUAUAUGGAAGUAAGACCCCUGAGAGAUGAUCAGGUAGAUAGGUUGGAAGUGGAAGUGCAGUGAUGUACGGAGCGGACCAAUACUAAUCGGUCGAGGACUUAACCAA
RNAcentral lists this ribosomal RNA (3232 nucleotides) under Lentilactobacillus parabuchneri. RNAcentral's name for it is "bacterial LSU rRNA". It matches the Rfam family "Bacterial large subunit ribosomal RNA". Lineage: Bacteria; Bacillati; Bacillota; Bacilli; Lactobacillales; Lactobacillaceae. The record is from RNAcentral.